RNAcentral lists this transfer RNA (68 nucleotides) under Marmota monax (woodchuck). RNAcentral describes it as "tRNA.Ala". The record is from RNAcentral. Lineage: Eukaryota; Metazoa; Chordata; Mammalia; Rodentia; Sciuridae.
GCUGGGGCUCAGUGGUAGAGCGCUUGCCUAGCAUGUGUGAGGCCCUGGGUUCGAUCCUCAGCACUGCA